GACGAACGCUGGCGGCGUGCUUAACACAUGCAAGUCGAACGGAAAGGCCCUGCUUUUGUGGGUUUCUCGAUUGCCGCACGGGUGUGUAACACGCGUGUAACCUGCCCUUGACUUUGGGAUAACUUCAGGAAACUGGGGCUCAUACCGCAUAGGAGCUCCUGCUGCACGUUGGUGGUUGGAAAGUUUCGGCGGUUGGGGAUGGACUCGCGGCUUAUCAGCUUGUUGGUGGGGUAGUGGCUUACCAAGGCUUUGACGGGUAGCCGGCCUGAGAGGGUGACCGGCCACAUUGGGACUGAGAUACGGCCCAGACUCCUACGGGAGGCAGCAGUGGGGAAUAUUGCACAAUGGGCGGAAGCCUGAUGCAGCAACGCCGCGUGCGGGAUGACGGCCUUCGGGUUGUAAACCGCUUUCGCCUGUGACGAAGCGUGAGUGACGGUAAUGGGUAAAGAAGCACCGGCUAACUACGUG
Molecule: ribosomal RNA, 468 nt
Filed under: uncultured bacterium
Lineage: Bacteria
Description: partial 16S ribosomal RNA
Rfam family: Bacterial small subunit ribosomal RNA
Source: RNAcentral